UGGGGAAUAUUGCACAAUGGGCGCAAGCCUGAUGCAGCGACGCCGCGUGGGGGAUGAAGGCCUUCGGGUUGUAAACUCCUUUCGCUAUCGACGAAGCCACUUGUGGUGACGGUAGGUAGAUAAGAAGCACCGGCUAACUACGUGCCAGCAGCCGCGGUAAUACGUAGGGUGCAAGCGUUGUCCGGAAUUACUGGGCGUAAAGAGCUCGUAGGUGGUUUGUCGCGUCGUCUGUGAAAUCCCGGGGCUUAACUUCGGGCGUGCAGGCGAUACGGGCAUAACUUGAGUGCUGUAGGGGAGACUGGAAUUCCUGGUGUAGCGGUGAAAUGCGCAGAUAUCAGGAGGAACACCGAUGGCGAAGGCAGGUCUCUGGGCAGUUACUGACGCUGAGGAGCGAAAGCAUGGGUAGCGAACAGGAUUAGAUACCCUGGUAGUCCAUGCCGUAAACGGUGGGCGCUAGGUGUAGGGGGCUUCCACGUCUUCUGUGCCGUAGCUAACGCAUUAAGCGCCCCGCCUGGGGAGUACGGCCGCAAGGCUAA
This 536-nucleotide ribosomal RNA is filed under the name uncultured compost bacterium. RNAcentral describes it as "bacterial SSU rRNA". It matches the Rfam family "Bacterial small subunit ribosomal RNA", at positions 355 to 897 of the family's 1533-position model. The record is from RNAcentral.